RNAcentral lists this ribosomal RNA (1384 nucleotides) under metagenome. RNAcentral describes it as "bacterial LSU rRNA". It matches the Rfam family "Bacterial large subunit ribosomal RNA", at positions 1525 to 2925 of the family's 2925-position model. The record is from RNAcentral.
AGUCUAAAUAGGCAAAUCCGUUUAGACAAUGCUAGGAUGUGAUGGGGAAGCCCUUCGGGGCGAAGUAGCUGAUUUCACACUGUCAAGAAAAGCUUCUAUCGAGUUUAAAGGCGCCCGUACCGUAAACCGACACAGGUGGGUGAGGAGAGUACCCUAAGGCCAGCGAGAGAACUAUUGUUAAGGAACUCGGCAAAAUGACCCCGUAACUUAGGGAGAAGGGGUGCCUGUCUAUGACAGGCCGCAGAGAAUAGGCCCAAGCGACUGUUUACCAAAAACACAGGUUUCUGCUAAGUCGUAAGACGAUGUAUAGGAGCUGACGCCUGCCCGGUGCUGGAAGGUUAAGGGGAUCUGUUAGAGCAAUCGAAGCAGUGAACUUAAGCCCCAGUAAACGGCGGCCGUAACCAUAACGGUCCUAAGGUAGCGAAAUUCCUUGUCGGGUAAGUUCCGACCCGCACGAAAGGCGUAACGAUUUGGGCACUGUCUCAACAAUAGACUCGGUGAAAUUGUAAUCCCGGUGAAGAUGCCGGGUACCUGCGACAGGACGGAAAGACCCCAUGGAGCUUUACUGUAGCUUGACGUUGGGUCUUGGUACUACAUGUACAGGAUAGGUGGGAGACUAUGAAGCAUGGACGCCAGUCUGUGUGGAGUCAUCCUUGGGAUACCACCCUUGUAGUACUGGGAUCCUAACCAUAGGCCUUGAAUCAGGUCUUGGAACACCUUCAGGUGGGCAGUUUGACUGGGGCGGUCGCCUCCUAAAAAGUAACGGAGGCGCUCAAAGGUUUCCUCAGCACGGUCGGAAAUCGUGCGAAGGGUGUAAAGGCAAAAGGAAGCUUGAUUGCAAGACAUACAGGUCGAGCAAGGACGAAAGUCGGACUUAGUGAUCCGGUGGUACCGCAUGGAAGGGCCAUCGCUCAACGGAUAAAAGCUACCCUGGGGAUAACAGGCUUAUCUCCCCCAAGAGUCCACAUCGACGGGGAGGUUUGGCACCUCGAUGUCGGCUCAUCACAUCCUGGGGCUGUAGUAGGUCCCAAGGGUUGGGCUGUUCGCCCAUUAAAGUGGUACGCGAGCUGGGUUCAGAACGUCGUGAGACAGUUCGGUCCCUAUCCGUCGCAGGCGUAGGAAAUUUGAGAAGACCUGUCCUUAGUACGAGAGGACCGGGAUGGACGUACCUCUGGUGUACCAGUUGUUCUGCCAAGGGCAUGGCUGGGUAGCUAUGUACGGAAUGGAUAAGCGCUGAAAGCAUCUAAGCGCGAAGCCAACUUCAAGAUAAGAUUUCCCACCGUAAGGGUAAGACCCCAGGAAGACUACCUGGUUGAUAGGUCGAAGGUGUAAGUGCAGUAGUGUAUUUAGCUUAUCGAUACUAAUAGGUCGAGGACCUGACCAA